This 792-nucleotide ribosomal RNA is filed under the name uncultured bacterium. Its description in RNAcentral is "bacterial SSU rRNA". It matches the Rfam family "Bacterial small subunit ribosomal RNA", at positions 8 to 784 of the family's 1533-position model. The record is from RNAcentral.
AGAGUUUGAUCCUGGCUCAGGACGAACGCUGGCGGCAGGCUUAACACAUGCAAGUCGCACGAGAACGCUUUGGCUUUGCCAGGGCAAGUACAGUGGCGGACGGGUGCGUAACGCGUAGAUAACCUGCCCUCAGGCGCGGGACAAUCGCGGGAAACCGCGGCUAAUACCGCACGGCGUCUGGAGCCCGCAUGGGCACCAGAUGAAACCUUGGGUUUGCCCAGGGGCCUUUGGAUGGGUCUGCGUCGGAUUAGCUUGUUGGUGAGGUAACGGCUCACCAAGGUUGCGAUCCGUAGCUGGUCUGAGAGGACGAUCAGUCACACUGGGACUGAGACACGGCCCAGACUCCUACGGGAGGCAGCAGUGGGGAAUCUUGCACAAUGGGGUCACCCCUGAUGCAGCCAUGCCGCGUGGAGGAAGACACCCCUAUGGGGCGUAAACUCCUUUUCUGAGAGAAGAACCCCCUGUAGGUUCAGGGCGUGACGGUAUCUCAGGAAUAAGCACCGGCUAACUCCGUGCCAGCAGCCGCGGUAAUACGGAGGGUGCAAGCGUUGUCCGGAAUCACUGGGCGUAAAGGGUGCGCAGGCGGGGCAGCAAGUCGGAGGUGAAAGCCCGUGGCUCAACCACGGAAGUGCCUUCGAAACUGCUGCUCUUGAGUCCCGGAGAGGUUGCCGGAAUUCGUGGUGUAGCGGUGAAAUGCGUAGAUAUCACGAGGAACACCAGAGGCGAAAGCGGGCAACUGGACGGGUACUGACGCUCAGGCACGAAAGCGUGGGGAGCAAACAGGAUUAGAUA